AGUGGGUUGGAACCGUAAACCGCAAACCUUUCCGUUAGCAGCAAAACGCUUUAAUUAAUCAGCGCGCAACCAGAGACUCCUUAAAUCCACAGGUUAAACUCAGGGAUUCGGAAACAGAGAAGCAAAGACCUCCAGCGCUCCUAGAGAGGACCCCCAGGCGUAGCGCAGUUCCAGAAGGCGGGGUGUGACGCACUUCCGGCUUUUGGGACGCGGUUCUGGCAGUCGGAGGUCGUAGGUGAGACUCCGGUGCCCUUCGACGGUCAGGCUCACCUCCCUUUUCUAUCCCAGCGCGCCCAGAUAUCUCCGGGGUUCACGGACCCGGAGGUAUAAAAUGCAAAGAGCCUAGAGGAUACCAAGCUCAACGGUCUUUUUAUUUAUCAUUUUUUUAAAGCGGACACGUUUGGUAUGUCUCAAAUGUUUGCAUAUCAACUCCUCACAUCAUCUCAAAUCCUCCCUCCUGCCCGAAACAGUGGUGAAUGAAGAGUGUUUGAAGCGUAGAGAAUAAAAAUUACUUGGAUGCAGUAGGAAAAGAUUACGCUACCCUUUUCCUUUCAGCUUCUUGAAUUUGUGAAGGGUUUUUAAGUGAGCAAUUUAAUUUCAGAAAUUCAUGGAUUUUUCAAUUGUGAGAGGUUACAGUGCCUGACUUGGAGGAAUGAGUAAUGAAGGGAGUUUGUAGGUGGUGCAGUGGAAAGUGAGUUGGGCCAUUAGGAAACAGGUCACCAGUACUCUGCCAUUGAUUCCUCCACAUGUCUGUCAAUUUGUCGAACUGUGGAGGGCUUGUGUGUUGCUGUGAUGCUGGAAGCUGUGCCACCAGCAGGGUCACCCAUGGCGGACAGGUUUCAGCUGAGCUUCCAGACUAAGACAGACUAGGAAGAAGGACCUGGCAAUCUACUUCUAAAAAGAAUUAGCCAGUGAAAACCUUAUGAGUAGCAGUGGAACAUUGUCUGAUAUAGUGCCGGAAGAUGAGCCCAUCAGGUUGGAAGGCACUCAAAAUUUGAGUGGGGACACAGUGGCUGCAACAAUGCGCUCAAGCAUAGCAACAAUUGGCAGGACGGCGCAGGACGGGCAGAGUUUCGUUCUUUUGUCAUAGGGUCACUAUGAAUCGGAACCGACUCGAAGGUGCCUAACAACAACAACUGCCAUUGAUUAGCAGGAUGAUCAUGGACAAAACAUGCAGAGCCACCAAGUUUUAAGUUUUUCCUAAGUAAAUAAACUGGAUAACCUCAGAGGGCCCUUCCAACUUUGUAAUUCAUUGGAAGAGUGAACUUAACUGAAUAAUUCUGCUACAGCAAAACCGAAUGUCCAGCCUCCAUUUCCUGCACAGUGUCACCAGGACACAGAAAGAUAUUUUCAUCACUGAGAGAGGCCGUUACAAGGCAGAGCACCAAAGAAGGCAUUAUACAGGCCAGUGCUAGGCAGAGUCUAUGCAUUUAAUACAUGAACGGUAGAGAAUGCAUUGUGAGCAAAUCAAUAAACGCUUAGUGUUUGCUGGAGAAAUAGAUUGAUUACACAGGGUUGUAUAAUGGGAGACAUUAAGUAACUUACCACAGGCACAUAAUUUAUUUCUGUAUUUUAAACCUGUGCUGCUUUCACUGCUUUAUCACACAAAAAUCUGACAGCUUGAAUAUAGUAAAAUCUCUUUAUAAAUGACAUGCCCAUUCAAGUAUUGAAAUGCCAAGUCUAUAAUGAAUUUGUUGAACUUUCUACAAAUGGGUAGAAAAUAGUGAUACUAUGCUUAUUCAAACAAAAAAAGUUUUUAAUGUCUAUUGGUUGCAAGGAAACCUGGUGGCGUAGUGGUUAGGAGUUUGGCUGCUAACCAAAAAGUUGGCGGUUUCAAUCCACCACGUGCUCCUUGGAAACCCUAUGGGGCAGUUCUACUCUGCCCCAUAGGGUCGUUAUGAGUCAGAAUCAACUGGACAGCAAUGGGUUUGGUUUUUGUUUUUGGAUUGGUUGCAAGAAAAUAUGUUAAGAGGUGAAAGCAAAAGACAAUCUUUACUUUUGAGUAGCAGUUUAGUUGAGAUAAAACUGAAAGCAUUAAAAAAUAAAUUUCAGGGUUAAAAAGAAAAAACCAAACCCAUUGUCAUCAAGUCAAUUCCAACUCAUAGUGACUGUAUAGUAUAGACAGAGUAGAACUGCCUCAUAGGGUUUUCCGAGGAGUGGCUGGCAGAUUCAAACUGCUGACCUUUUGGUUAGCAGCCAAAUGCUUGACCACUGCACCACCAGAGCUCCAAACUUCAGGGUAAAGCAAAACCAAACCCGUUGCUAUCGAGUUGAUUCCGACUCAUAGCGACCCUAUAGGACAGAGUAGAACUGCCCCAUAUGGUUUCCAAGGAGCACCUGGUGGAUUUAAACUGCUGACCUUUUGGUUAGCAGCUGUAGCUCUUAACCAGUACACCACCAGGGUUUCCAAUUUCAGGGUAAGAGCUAUCAAAAUAUUACAUACUUAACCAGUGUUGGAGAUAACUAAUGAGUUUAAAGGCAAGAGAGGAUUGGGUGCUGGAAUUGUUGUCUUUCUACAGCCACUUCCCCAGAAGGAGUCCGAAAACACUCCAGGAGGCUCUUUAUGAGUCAGGGAGGUGUGGCUGUGCUCCUGACCUCAGCCCUGUCUCUUUGAGUUUUACUUCCUCCUUGGAGAACCUUAAUUUUGAUUCAUAUGUCACUAUGAGGGAAGGCUUCUAGGAAUGUUUUAUUUCCCCCACCCGCCUUUAAAACUUUAACCCAUAUGUCAAAAACUAAGAUUCCUUUCCUUUGAUCUUAAAAUACCUGACACAGAAUGGAAUUUUCAGAAAAUGUAUCACUAAAAAUGAAAGGAAAUGAGCAGAUACUAUAACAGUUGGAAGAUGAGGAUAAUAACCCACCACAAAUGCUGAGAAAGAGAAAAUAAAUUUUUUAAGAUGAGGACAAAACAAAAAGAGGUAUCAGGAAAGGUUUAAUGGGUGUCAAGAACGGGUAGAAUUUAGAGAGAGAGUUGGUGGAAAAGGUUGUUCCAGGCAAAGGGACGAAGAUGGGAAAUCAGAAUGUGUUGAGGAACUGUGAGGAAGCCAGCUUGGCUCAAGUAUAGGACCUGUGAAGAAGUAGGAGGUAAGACAAAAAGGUGUAAUGUUAUGGAAACCCUUGAAUGGGGGUGGGGGUUAUGCUUAAUUUUUUACAGGAAACAGUAGUAUGAUCGGACCUCGGUGUGGUUUGAUUUGGAACAUGAAGAGGUUGGAGCUAGGAAAAGCAAACAAAAUCAUUGCAGUAAUCUGUGCUAGAGGAAUAAGAGACUGUCCUCAUAAAACAUAUUCUAGGACAGAAAGGACAGCCUGCAAAACAGACAUUAUUCGAAUCAAAUCAGCCAGUUUCUUGAAUCUGAAUAAUGACUGCUGAAUCAAGGGAUACUACAGGCCUGUCCCCUCAAUCUACCCAGGAGAUGGAAGGCAUAGUGAUAGUGAAGGUGGAGGAGGAAGAUGAAGAUGAGGAAGACCGUUUUCAAAGGGAAAAAAAUAAUGCAAAGUUAUCAUCACAAUUUCUUAGUCGUUCUACAACUAUGAAUGAGAGAGCCUUAUUAUCAUCAUAUUUAGUUGCAUAUCAAGUGGCAAAAGAGAAAAUGGCCCACACAGCUGCAGAAAAAAUUAUUCUUCAGCAUGUAUGGAUAUGGUACGUACAAUUUUUAAUGAUAAAUCCGCUGAUAAGAACCAUACCUCUUAGUGAUAAUACAAUAUCUCGUCGAAUCUGUACUGUUGCAAAACAUUUAGAAGCAAUACUUAUUACACGGUUGCUGUCUGGUAUAGAUUUUGCAGUCCAACUUGAUGAGAGCACUGAUAUUGCAGGUUAUCCAACACUUUUGGUUUACAUCAGAUAUGUAAGGCAAGACGAUUUUGUAGAGGAUUUGUUGUGUUGUUUAAGCUUAAAUUCGCAUGUAACUGGAUUAGAUUUAUUUUCUGAGUUAGAAAAGUGUGUUAUUGGUCAGUAUAAAUUAAACUGGAAAAAUCGUAAAGAAAUUUGAAGUGAUGGAACAGCAGAUAUGACUGGAAAACAUAGCAGAGUUAUAGAAAAAUUACUAGAAGCAACACAUAACAAUGCACUUUGGAAUCACUGUUUUCAUCAUCGAGAAGCUUUGGUAUCCAGAGAGAUCCCACCAGGUCUAAUGGAUGUAUUGAAAAGUGCAGUGAAAAUUGUUAAUUUUAUUAAAGGAAGUUCAUUGACUAGUCGACUUCUUGAAAUAUUUUGUUGAGAGGUUGGAGUUAACAAUACCCAUUUAUUGUUUCAUACAAAAGUCCGUUUGUUGUCUCGAGGAAAAGUAUUAAGCAGAGUGUAUGAACUCAAGAAUGAGAUUUACAUUUUUCUCAUUGAAAAGCAAUCUCAUUUGGCAAAUAUUUUUGAAGAUGAUAUUUGGGUAACAAAAUUGACACAUUUAAGUGAUAUUUUUGGCAUUCUUAAUGAAUGAAGUUUGAAACUACGGGGAAAAAUAAUGAUAUAUUUCAAUAUCUCGAACAUAUUCUAGGAUUCCAGAAAACAUUAUUAUUGUGGCAAACAAGACUUAAAAAUGAUCGCCCUAGCUAUUAUAUGUUCCCAACAUUGUUGCAACACAUUGAAGAAAACAUUAUUAAUAAAGACUGCUUAAAAGAAAUAGUUAGAGAUAUUGCUGCAUCUCACUUCUUUGUCUCAAACCUUUAAUCAUUACUUUCCAGAAGAGAAAUUUGAAUCAUUAAAGAAAAAAUUUUGGAUUAAAGAUCCAUUUGCUUUUCAGAACCUAGAAUCAAUAAUUGAGUUAAACUUGGUACCUGAGGAAGAGAACGAAUUAUCGCAGCUCAGUUCGUCGUUCACACUGAAAAACUAUUACAAGACAUUGUUUGUUGGCAUUUUGGAUUAAGAUUAAAAAGAAUUUCCAUUACUAAGUAGAAAAAGUAUAUUGCUAUUAUUACCAUUCACAGCUACUUAUCGGUGUGAACUAGGAUUUUCAAUCUUGACAACGAUUGAAAACAAAGAAAAGAAAUUGGCUCAAUAGUGCACCAGACAUGCGUGUAGCAUUAUCUUCAUGUGUUCCAGACUGGAAUGAACUUAUGAACCGGCAAGCAUACCCAUCACAUUGAUAAAAUCUUUAUGAAAUGUUGUCUUUGUACUUUCUUAGGGAUUUUUUUUAUAUGUUGUAUUUAAAUAUUAAUAAAGUCUUGGAAUUAAAUAGGUUUUUAUUUUCCUACAUAGUAACAGUAAGUAUUUCAUGAAGUUUGUUUUCAUGAUGACUGUAUGUGCAUAUGUGUAUACCAGGUUAUGAUGUAAAAAUACAGUUCUUCCUGUGGGUUACUGUCAAGAAUUUUUUUUAAUAAUGCUUUUAACACUGUUAGUUUUAUACUCAGAUCUGUUCCUUUCUCUGCUGCUGCAGCCUUGCUUCUUCCUCUGUAGUAGAGCCCUGUUUAUGUUCACUUAUUCACCGUCUACGUGCCUAUAUGUGCUCUUCUCUUCUUGUUCUGAUUCCAUUAGGUGAGCCUUAAUGCUAAUCAUGGUUUAACAUCAUCCUCCUUGUCCCUGGUUUUUUAGGCAAUGAAGUGUAAAAGGGUAGUCUACCUGGUAUUUCUAUGCAAAGGUUUCCCUUGCACUCCAAAAACAGGACACGAGAGAUAUUGAUGAUAGUGGCAUAAUUUUUUUAUUCUCCCCAAAUCCUCCCUGUAAAAACACAGAACACCUAGGAUAGCAAAACUGAAACUCAUGAGGCAAUAUCUACAGCAAAACUAGGUGAUAGGGUAUCCCCACAAACCCUAAAAUAUGGUGAGGACAAACUACCAACAGUUAUGAAACUAAUAUGGUGUCUUGGUUUCCUAGUGCUGCUGUAACAAAUACACAAAUGGGUUGCUUUAAAGAACAGAAAUGUGUUUUCUUUCACACUUUAAAACCCAUUGCCUUUGAGUUGAUUCUGACUCAUAGUGACCCUAUAGGACAAAGUAGAACUGCACCACAGGGUUUCUAAGGCUGUUAAUCUUUACGGAAGCAGACUGCCCCACCUUUCGCCCAUGGAGUGGCUGGUGGGUUCGAACCACUGAACUUUUGGUUAACAUCCAAGUGCUUAACCACUACACCACCAGGGCUAAACAAACAAACAAAAAAGUUGCCAUCAAGUUGAUUCCAACUCAUAGCGACCCUUAGGACUGAGUAGAACUGCCCCAUAGGGUUUCCAAGGAGCAGCUGGUGGAUUCAGAUUGCUAACUUUUUGAUUAUCAGCCAGUCACUUAACCACUAUGCCACUAGGGCUCCACCCAGCAGGGCUAGCCGUCCAAAUUCAGAGCACCCACUGUAGAAGAAAACUCAGCUCUGGGGGAAGAUCCUUGUCUCUUAGCUUCUGUAUCCCCAGUGUUUCUUGGUGAUCGGUGAUCUUCACUUGGCAUCUGUCUUCCGGUUUGUGCUUGCAUGUUUCUUUUUCCGUGUCUAAUUUUAUAACCCAGAGCUGAUUAGGUUUAGGACACACUCUAAACUGGUAUGGACUCAUUAACAUAACAAAGAGAACCUGUAUUCCAAAACAGGAUUACUUCCACAGGUAUAGGGGUUAGGAUUCCAACACGUAUUUUGGAGGGACACAAUCCAUAAUGUGAUCUUAAGCCAUUGUGCAAGAGGAAGUGGAGGAAAGCAUCAGACGUCUGACAGACCUGAGAAUGGCAAAAUAACAGGUGCUCUGCAAAAUUUUAAUAAGCCAAUUUGAGAAUGGCGGCUGAAAUCUGAAGGAGUUUGCACACUUCAAUAGAGGAUGAGCAUUAGGGCCUGGUGAUAAAGUCUGGGAGCAGUGUGGGCUACAGGAACUUUCAAAACUAACCAGCCAACUUCUGAGGUUACAGUCUCAUAGUGAGGAGAAACUGCUGGAAAGAGAAUCCAAAUUAGUAACCAAGACAAGGGGAACAGUCAAAGUAAAAGAAGCUUAUCUUCGUGUCCCCGAAGGUUGCUUUGUUUAAAUUUGUCUGCCCGGACCAAGAGUUGUCUGGCCCAGUUGAUGAUUGGCAUUUGGCUGUUUCAGGAUACAAUUUUGUACAGGCAAACCAUUGAAAUUCUUGUGGGGCCUUCACAAUCUAAAACCCUGCUUUUCCUGGGGCAAACACCUGUUUUCAUGUUUUCUCACAAUAACAAAACUAGUAUGUUUAUUUCUCUAGCACAGUUUCACCAGGGAUAAUUUGAAAUUGCAGUGGUCACUUUGGGGAAACUUGAAAUAAACAAAUUGUUCACUUGAGAAGUGCCUUAAACAAAAAGGAAAAAACCCUUAUGAGAUUUCAGACUGACUCCUGUGUUCCUUUGACAACUCCCCAUCAUUUUGAUUUUAGAGUACUUCCUUACUCUGGCACUACAAGAUGCUCCAGGCUCACCUUGUAUUUUCUGUGCCCCAGCACUGAAAUAACCCUUUUCUUAAAGGCUUUUAAGUUAUACCUCUGUUAAAUAUUUUUUUUACAAUGGUUGUUCUAGGCUUUACAAUAUGUAUCUUUAACUUAUCAAGUCUAUUUCAAAAUAUUAUAUCACUUUACAUAUAGUGUAAGAGCCUUUUACUUAUCCUCCCUCCCAUCCUUUGUCGUGUUACAUUUUAUUUGUACAUGCUAUAAACCCCACAAUACAUUGUUACUGUUUUUGGUUUAGACUUCAAUUAUCUUUUAAUGCAAUACAUAUAAGAAAAUAUAUUUUAUUACCUUCAUCUUUACCAUUUAUGGUGCUCUUUGUGUAGAUCUAAAAUCUGAUAUCUCACUCUCCAAAAUGUUAAACUUCUGAGGAGGAGGAGCCAAGAUGGUGGCUUAGUCACAUGCACUGUAAAGAUCCCCUGCACCAAAUACCAAAAACACAAGGGAAACAGAAGCAGAUAAUAAUCCAGGAACCCUGAGCAUCAAAAAACAAAUUAAGGACUGAACUGAACACCAGUUGGAAGGAAUAAGGAAAGGGGCAAAUGGAGGAGCUCAGCCAGCUGUCCCGGCCUGCUAAGGCUAACUUAGGAUAAAGCCAGCAGCAACCUUGGGUGAAGAAAACAGCAAGGCAACUGGACAAAUUUCCCAAAAAGAACAGAGAACCUCUAUGGACACGGAAAGAAGCAGAGACAGGGAGGGUGCCAGAUCCAGAAUCAGAGAUUUUCAGGAGCGGCAGUCCUUGACCUCAGUUCAGUGCACGCAGGAGGCGGUGGACUCAUAGGGUAUCAGUGGGAGCUCUCCCACCCAACUGAUCCCUGGGCGGCACUGCUCCUCACACUCAAGAGAGGACAGGUCCUGCUUGCUGGCUGCAAUGGACACAAGGUGUCCUGGCCAGAGGGACACAUUCCAUCCUGAUCAGAGGUGGCAGAGGGUCCCAUACCCUGACCCCUU
This is a long non-coding RNA of Loxodonta africana (African savanna elephant), 8297 nucleotides long. RefSeq lists it as uncharacterized. Lineage: Eukaryota; Metazoa; Chordata; Mammalia; Proboscidea; Elephantidae. The transcript is spliced from 3 exons. The record is from RefSeq and is a predicted model, not a curated record.